CAGGACUGCAGAUAAAAAUAGUC
Molecule: non-coding RNA, 23 nt
Filed under: Cricetulus griseus (Chinese hamster)
Lineage: Eukaryota; Metazoa; Chordata; Mammalia; Rodentia; Cricetidae
Source: RNAcentral